AGAGUUUGAUCAUGGCUCAGGACGAACGCUGGCGGCGUGCUUAACACAUGCAAGUCGAACGGAAAGGCCCGCUUGCGGGUACUCGAGUGGCGAACGGGUGAGUAACACGUGGGCAACCUGCCCUCAGCUCUGGGAUAACUCCGGGAAACCGGUGCUAAUACUGGAUAUCAACUUUGCCUCGCAUGGGGUGUUGUUGAAAGUUUUUCGGCUGGGGAUGGGCCCGCGGCCUAUCAGCUUGUUGGUGGGGUGAUGGCCUACCAAGGCGACGACGGGUAGCCGGCCUGAGAGGGCGACCGGCCACACUGGGACUGAGACACGGCCCAGACUCCUACGGGAGGCAGCAGUGGGGAAUAUUGCGCAAUGGGCGGAAGCCUGACGCAGCGACGCCGCGUGAGGGAUGACGGCCUUCGGGUUGUAAACCUCUUUCAGCUCUGACGAAGCGUGAGUGACGGUAGGAGCAGAAGAAGCACCGGCCAACUACGUGCCAGCAGCCGCGGUAAUACGUAGGGUGCAAGCGUUGUCCGGAAUUAUUGGGCGUAAAGAGCUCGUAGGCGGUCUGUCGCGUCGAAUGUGAAAACCCGGGGCUCAACCCCGGGCCUGCAUUCGAUACGGGCAGACUAGAGUUCGGUAGGGGAGUCUGGAAUUCCUGGUGUAGCGGUGAAAUGCGCAGAUAUCAGGAGGAACACCGGUGGCGAAGGCGGGACUCUGGGCCGAUACUGACGCUGAGGAGCGAAAGCGUGGGGAGCGAACAGGAUUAGAUACCCUAGUAGUCC
Molecule: ribosomal RNA, 773 nt
Filed under: uncultured bacterium
Lineage: Bacteria
Description: bacterial SSU rRNA
Rfam family: Bacterial small subunit ribosomal RNA
Source: RNAcentral